This is a long non-coding RNA of Lampris incognitus (smalleye Pacific opah), 480 nucleotides long. RefSeq lists it as uncharacterized. The transcript has 3 exons. The record is from RefSeq and is a predicted model, not a curated record. Lineage: Eukaryota; Metazoa; Chordata; Actinopteri; Lampriformes; Lampridae.
CAAACUGGAUCUGGCUGACGGUCAGAGGAGGAAAGUGACCAUCAGAGAGGGACAGAGACUUGCAGAGCAGCACCAGGCUGUGUUCUAUGAGUGCAGUGCCAAGACUGGACAUAACCUGGAGGAGAUGAUGGUCCAGCUGGCCGGCAUGUUGGCCGCUCGGCAAGAUCAGCAAUGUGGAGGAGCUCUUUUACUGACCGAGGACACGACCAAAGAAGGCUGCUGUAUCUAGACGUGGACUGGCUUUUUGCAGCCGUGCAUUGGUCUUUCCUGUCACGUCACCUUAUUGAAACAUUUGGGAAGAAUAAGAGGGAUGGUGACUCUCAUGCCAGUAAUACCCCAAAGGUAAGGUCUUAAGACCUACAGUAGCUCUGGAAGCACUAUCGUGUGUUUUCUCACUAUGUUUACGUCACCGUAGGACAGAUGUUUACUUAAUACGUUGCUUGCGUUGUUGGUAAAAGGAACCCAAUAAAGGCUAUUCUG